RNAcentral lists this long non-coding RNA (5797 nucleotides) under Glycine max (soybean). RNAcentral describes it as "long non-coding RNA (GMAX_LNC001378)". The record is from RNAcentral. Lineage: Eukaryota; Viridiplantae; Streptophyta; Magnoliopsida; Fabales; Fabaceae.
CCCAUUCCAAACAUGUUCGGAAACAUGUUUAGGUUGCAGCCAUAAGACGUCUCCUUCUAUUGGACCAGACUUAAUGUGUAUACUAGAUGAAGAUGAUGACGAAGAUGCCAUUGAUGCUGUAAAGUUCAAUAUAAUACAAAAAAUUGACAACAAAAAUUUUACAUUAAAAAAAUUAACAAAUUUAAUAGCUACACAAAUUUAAAUAAAUGUUCUAAAAUACUAUACAAAUAACAAAAUUACAAAUUUAAUAGCUACACAAAUUAAAAUACAUGACCAAAUUAAAAUACAUAGAUUUGUUACACAUACAAAAAUUGAACACAAAAAAACAUAAAAUACUACCUAAAAUAGUCUACAAAUAAAAAUAUUAAAAAUUACAUACCUACACAAAUUUAAAUAAAUUACCAAAUUUAAAUACAUAACAAAAUUAAAAACUUAAACACAUACAUAAAUUGAACACAAAUAAAGUUAAAAUACUACCUAAAAUAGUCUACAAAUAACAAAAUUACAAAUUAAAUAACUACAAAAAUUUAAAUAAAUGACCAAAUUAAAAUACAUAAGAAAAUUAAAAAUUUAAACACGUACAUAAAUUGUACACAAAUAAACUUAAAAUACUAUCUAAAAUAAUCUAGAAAUAACAAAAUUAAAAAUUAAAUAGCUACAAAAAUUUAAAUAAAUGACCAAAUUAAAAUACAUAACAAAAUUAAAAAUUUAAACACGUACAUAAAUUGUACACAAAUAAACUUAAAAUAUUAUCUAAAAUAAUCUACAAAUAACAAAAUUAAAAAUUAAAUAGCUACAAAAAUUUAAAUAAAUUACCAUAUUAAAAUACAUAAUAAAAUUAUAAAUUGUUACACGUACAUAAAUUUUACACAAAAAAAACUUUAUUUACUAACUAAAAUACUCUAUACAUAACAAAUUUAAAUAUUAAAAUACGUACAUAAAUAAAUUUAAUUAAAUGACCAUAUUUUUUUUACAAUUAUUAAAAUUUAAAUUAAAUAACAAAUAUUAUACAUAAAAAAAUGGUAUUAAAUCAAAAAAAUUUCAUGGAAUAAAAAAUUUAAAGAACAUAUAUAUAAAAUUAAUAAAGUAUCAUAUAUUUCAAUGAAAACUAUAAUUCAAUAAACUAAAUAAUAUUCACAUUCUAACUAAAAUUAACGUACAAAUAAUUUUAUCACAAAUAAUAACAUACAAAUUUUAAAAAUCUUAACAAAAUUAUAUUAAUAAAUCACUAACGUACAAAUAAUAAUAUACCAACUAAAUCAUAUUUAAACAUACUACUUAAAAUUUAAAAGUUUUACCAUACAUCAACAAACUUAGCAUAUCUAAAACAAUUAAUAAAACUAACCUAACCUAACUUACCAUAUCUAUAAUUAAUUUACAAAAUUAUAAAUAAAUUAUAUUAUCAAAUUAACUAAAACUAACCUAACUAAUAUUAUCAAAAUUAUAUUUAUAAAUCAACUAAAACUAACCUAACUAAUAUUCUUAAAAUUAUAUUUAUAAAUCAACUAAAACUAACCAAACUAAUAUUAUCAAAAUUAUAUUUAUAAAUCAACUAAAACUAACCUAACUAAUAUUCUUAAAAUUAUAUUUAUAAAUCAACUAAAACUAACCAAACUAAUAUUAUCAAAAUUAUAUUUAUAAAUCAACUAAAACUAACCUAACUAAUAUUCUUAAAAUUAUAUUUAUAAAUGAACUAAAACUAACCUAACAUAAACCUAACCUAAACAAUAUUAAUAUGUGAACUGAAAUUAUUUUAACACAUGUAUAUAUAACAGAAAAAUAUAGGGCAAACAACAUUAAAAAAAAAUUAACUUACCGGAAGCGCGUAUUAAGAAUAGCAAUCCAAAGCACGUAUGGAGAAUACACAGUGUAGUGUUAGGACAGUGGAACUAAGAUUCAAAACUUCACCUACAAUAGAUAAAAAAUUUCUCAAUUAAAACUGAAAUAUAAAUUAAACAUAACUUAAUAUAUAUAACACAAAAAAUUUUAAAAUUUUCAGUUAAUAUAAUACUUACAAAAACACCUAAUACCAACAGAAGAAGAAACAAUGCAAUGGAAGCUCAAUAUCUCGUGUGAGGAAGAUAAGCAGAAGAAGAUAACUAAUGAGGAAGAUAAGCAGAAGAAGAAGAAGAAAGCAUGCAUACGAAGAAGAAGAAAGCAUGCAUACGAAGCUCGCGUUUUAUAAAAAAAAUUUUGAAUCCCUGCACCUGCAAAUCGCCUGCACCAAUGGCGAUUUCCUCUCUGCAAAUCGCCUGCACCAAUGGCGAUUUCCUUCUGCUGCACUGCCAUGGCAGGAAUGGCAGGAACUAGGCCUGCUGCCCUCAGCUAUUGGAACUCGCCAGUUUGACUGGCGGUUCCCUAUGGCUUGUGCAUAUCGCCAGCUCUAAUGGCGGUUUAGGCACGUAUCGCCAGUGCCAUUUGCAACUUGCUCAGUGACACCAAACUCGCCAUUGGCAAUGGCGGUUUGGGUCCUGCAUGGCACACUAUUCACGUACAAAACUACCCCCUGCCGAAAAUAAAACCAAAAGAACCCCAUCUGGGGAAAUACUUUUUAAAAGUACCCCAGAUGGGGAAAUUUGCCUACGGUUGCAUGCAGUAAAGCACAUGUAUGUGUUUUGCAAGCAACACUUAUUCAUUUUGAAUAGAAUUGAACAGUCAGCAGAAAUGAACUACUCUUCUAUAUAUAUAUAUUUUAAAACUACUAUUUAAAAAAAACCUCAAACCAAUGAAUCAUGAAUACAUAUGAAGUGGACAGAAAUUUGUCACUCAAAAAACAUUUUCUCUUUUCUUCUUUUUACAAAAUAAAUCGUAACAUUGUAUUCAUGGGAAAUACAGAUACAACGAAUAGAAGCUCAUUAGAAGAUUGCUUGUGAAAGAAACUCAUUAAUAGGGCAUUUUGGGGUUCAAAAGACUUUAGACAUGUUACAGGAGCAUUUCUAUUGGCCACAUAUGAAACAUGAUGUGCAUAAGUUUUGUGAACAGUGCAUUGUUUGUAAGCAGUCAAAGUCUAGAGUCAUGUCUCAUGGUCUUUAUUCUCCUUUGCUUGUUCCUGAAUAUUCUUGGACUAAUUUAUCUAUGAAUUUUGUUUUAGCUUUUCCUCGAACGAGGAAUGGUAAAGACUCUAUUUUUUUUGUGGUUGAUAGGUUCUCAAAAAUGGCAUAUUUCAUACCAUUUAAGAAAAAUGAUGAUGUACGCCAUGUUGCUAAAUUAUUUUUCAAGGAAGUGGUGCGUCUCCAUGGACUACCAAGAAGCAUUGUUUUGGACCAAGACACUAAGUUCCUCAGUCACUUUUGGAGAACAUUAUGGGGUAAGGUUAGAACAAAGCUUCUUUUUUCCACCACAUGCCAUCCUCAAACUAAUGGACAAAUUGAGAUAGUAAACAGGAAUUUGUCUUCUCUUCUUAGAGCUAUGAUUAAAAAGAAUAUAAAGUGUUGGGAAUAAUGUCUGCCUCAUGUUGAGUUUGCAUACAAUAGGGUUGUACAUAGAAAUACACAACACUCUCCAUUUGAAGUAGUGUAUGGUUUUAAUCCCUUGACUCCUCUUGAUUUGUUACCAUUGCCUAACAUUUCAGAUUUUAAGCAUAAGGAUGCAUAGGCUGAAGUUGAAUAUGUGAAAAGAUUGCAUGAGCAAGUGAAGGCUCAAAUUGCAAAGAAGAAUGAAAACUAUGUCAAGCAAGCCAACAAGAAUAGGAAGAAAGUGGUAUUUGAACCAAGUGAUUGAGUUUGGGUACACAUGAGGAAUGAGAGAUUCCCUGAACAAAGGAAGUCCAAACUUCAACAUAGAGGAGAUAGACCUUUCCAAGUACUAGAGAUGAUCAGUGACAAUGCUUACAAGAUAGAUAUUCCAAGUGAGUAUGGAGUAAGUUUCUCUUUUAAUGUUGCUGACUUGACUCCAUUUGUUACAGGUGGUGAUUCUGAAGAUUUUAGGACAAAUGCUUUCCAAGAAGCAGGGAAUGGUGAGAAUCCCAAAGCUAUCCAAAUACAAGGACCUAUGACCAGGAGUAGGACCAAACUGUUAGAAGAUACCCUCCAACAAAUAGUAUCAGUCAUACUUGACAAGACCCAAGUGGAGAAGGAUGAAGGCCUAAAAGCACUAUCAAGAAUCAUCUUGAUUAUUGUUAAAGGCCCAAACUAAUUUGAAGGUCCAUAUCAAGUAUUUUUCUAUAUUUUUUUGUAAUUUUAAUUAAAUAAAAUUAGUAUCUUUUCAGCUACACUAUAUGUAUUGAACUCAUUUUCAAGAAAAUGAACUUUUGACAUUUUGAGAAAAUACGUGUGCAUCUUGUGAGAGCUUCUCUUUGGAUUCCUUGUUGACCCAAUCUCAGACUUAUCAAGGUUAAACCUUUGUGGCAUUUAUCCUUGAUUUAUCUUCCAUAUCUGGAAGUUGCGUCAUUCAUUUUCGUGACUUUUAUCAAGCGAUCCACUCUUAAUAAGAAUCACAUUCCUAUCAAAAUCAAAUGCAAUUACGAAUGUGAAAGCAUUACUUUAACCAUUUAAAGAUAAAGAUGGACGGAAAUCCAACACAUGCAAUUAGGAAGAGACACAUGGCAAAUACAUAUUUAAGCUCCCAAAUAAAGCUUUUUUGUCUUUUUGUGUAUAGAAAAAUAAACACGAACGAUGAAACAGGAAUGCUUAUAGAAAAAAAGUUUGUAGAAAGGUAAUUCCAUUUUAAAUGAAAAUAUGUAAAAGUUAUUACACUUCUACUUUAACAUAUUCAAGAUGGAUAGGCCUAUAAUGACAAAGCAUUCGACCACACAUCGAGAUCCACCGACCAGUAUACAUUGCAUGUGGCACCAAGAUAUGCAUCCCUGACUUCCAAAGAUAAUAUUAACUUGGUAGAAAUUUAACAUAGAAGAGACCGGACAAGGCAGAAUAAUUGAAAUUUUACUAUAAGUAUUCACCAUUAGCCGAAAAGAUUGCCCCUAAAUUGACUUUCAAACAAACUGUCGCUGUAAAUAGUAAUCAACAAAUAAAUGUGAACUUAUAUAACGAAUCGGCAAGAUAUUCCAUGUGCGCUGAUUCAAGAUCCAUCAUAUCUUUCACCUGCAUAAUAAAUGGCAGAAAUAUCCAAAAGAUUUAUAAAGUAAUUGAAUUACUAAGUCAUAUAGACUAGAUCUAGCCAUCAAAGUUAUCAUAAACUAGAAAGCUAUGAAAUUGACAUUUGAGUGAGGUAGAAGGAAAAUGUGGUAAUCCAUCCCAGAUCAACGAAGUUCAUCUUUCUAUAACCCUUUAUAUGUGGUGAAAUUUUUUUGUAUUUCUGCAACAUUUAAAAAUUAUAAUGGAGAUGCUGUUGAGAUGACUUAACAUUUGUUUAUAAGUUCCUACAUAAACAUCUUAAAAGCAUCCCACAUAAUAAACAAAAUAUUUCUAAAUUUCCUCUUAUGUUAUGCUAAGCAUAAACAUCAAGCCUGCUAGAAGCCAAAGAACAGAAGACAGAGAGAAGAUAUGAAGGAUAUUGUUGGUUGAACUUUAACAAAAAUGUACAGAACAAAGGAGAGAAGUCCCUCUCUCCUCCCCCUUCACAAAUAAUUUCUCCUUUCACACACAAGCUAUCAAAUUCACAUAAUGAAUCCCUCUAAUCGGAUGUCCCCUAUUUAUAGCCAGUCCCUUCUAACUAUUGGACUAACUGAGCUGCCUUUAUUCAGCUCUCAUUAUAGUCAUUGACCAAGGCUGCAGCCUGCAGCUGCUUGACAGCCUUGAGCAGUAGAACCCUCUCGUAGUAAUAUCAGCAAAUGCAAAAAACAAAGAAUUACAUUACAAGGUCAAAGGGCAUAGAAAUAAUGAAAAAUAGUAUGAUUUUG